GGUGGUAUUUCGGCAUGGGCGAAGUCUGACCGAGCAACGCCGCGUGAGUGAAGAAGGUUUUCGGAUCGUAAAACUCUGUUGUUAGAGAAGAACAAGGAUGAGAGUAACUGUUCAUCCCUUGACGGUAUCUAACCAGAAAGCCACGGCUAACUACGUGCCAGCAGCCGCGGUAAUACGUAGGUGGCAAGCGUUGUCCGGAUUUAUUGGGCGUAAAGCGAGCGCAGGCGGUUUCUUAAGUCUGAUGUGAAAGCCCCCGGCUCAACCGGGGAGGGUCAUUGGAAACUGGGAAACUUGAGUGCAAAAAAGGAAAGUGGAAUUCCAUGUGUAGCGGUGAAAUGCGUAAAUAUAUGGAGGAACACCAGUGGCGAAGGCGGCUCUCUGGUCUGUAACUGACGCUGAGGCUCGAAAGCGUGGGGAGCAAACAGGAUUAGAUACCCUGGUAGUCCACGCCGUAAACGAUGAGUGCUAAGUGUUGGAGGGUUUCCGCCCUUCAGUGCUGCAGCUAACGCAUUAAGCACUCCGC
This 523-nucleotide ribosomal RNA is filed under the name Enterococcus durans. RNAcentral's name for it is "bacterial SSU rRNA". It matches the Rfam family "Bacterial small subunit ribosomal RNA", at positions 356 to 872 of the family's 1533-position model. The record is from RNAcentral. Lineage: Bacteria; Bacillati; Bacillota; Bacilli; Lactobacillales; Enterococcaceae.